CCUACGGGAGGCAGCAGUGGGGAAUAUUGCACAAUGGGGGAAACCCUGAUGCAGCGACGCCGCGUGAGUGAAGAAGUAAUUCGUUAUGUAAAGCUCUAUCAGCAGGGAAGAAAAUGACGGUACCUGAGUAAGAAGCCCCGGCCAACUACGUGCCAGCAGCCGGGGUAAUAAGUGGGGGGCAAGCGUUAUCCGGAUUUACUGGGUGUAAAGGGAGUGUAGACGGCAGUGCAAGUCUGGAGUGAAAGGCGGGGGCUCAACCCCCGGACUGCGCUGGAAACUGGACGGCUGGAGUGCAGGAGAGGUAAGUGGAAUUCCUAGUGUAGCGGUGAAAUGCGUAGAUAUUAGGAGGAACUCCGGUGGCGAAGGCGGCUUACUGGAGUGUAACUGACGUUGAGGCUCGAAAGCGUGGGGAGCGAACAGGAUUAGAUACCCCAGUAGUC
This 440-nucleotide ribosomal RNA is filed under the name uncultured bacterium. Its description in RNAcentral is "partial 16S ribosomal RNA". It matches the Rfam family "Bacterial small subunit ribosomal RNA", at positions 338 to 795 of the family's 1533-position model. The record is from RNAcentral.